CCUACUUGGUUUGUCGCCAUCAAUUCUCUCUGGGAUCCAUAUCUUCAGACUAAAUGUAUAUGAAGGGGAUGAAAUUGCAGAGAUCACAAGUGACGUCGGUGAUGCUUUCUUUAGCUAGAGUGCACGAGUUGACAAAUUUUUGGUUAGUGGAAAUUUCUUUGCGC
Molecule: long non-coding RNA, 164 nt
Organism: Solanum stenotomum
Lineage: Eukaryota; Viridiplantae; Streptophyta; Magnoliopsida; Solanales; Solanaceae
Exons: 3
Source: RefSeq, a predicted model, not a curated record